AUGGCUUUCCCUCCAGAGUGGAUCCUGAGUACGGCGGAACACGUGAAAUUCCGUCGGAAUCCGGGAGGACCAUCUCCCAAGGCUAAAUACUCCCUAGUGACCGAUAGUGAACCAGUACCGUGAGGGAAAGGUGAAAAGCACCCCGGAAGGGGAGUGAAACAGUUCCUGAAACCGUGUGCCUACAAGUAGUUAGAGCCCGUUAAUGGGUGAUAGCGUGCCUUUUGUAGAAUGAACCGGCGAGUUACGAUUUGUUGCAAGGUUAAGCGGAAAAAGCGGAGCCGUAGCGAAAGCGAGUCUGAAUAGGGCGCAUAAGUAACAGGUCGUAGACCCGAAACCAGGUGAUCUACCCAUGUCCAGGAUGAAGGUAAGGUA
Molecule: ribosomal RNA, 372 nt
Filed under: Listeria monocytogenes
Lineage: Bacteria; Bacillati; Bacillota; Bacilli; Caryophanales; Listeriaceae
Description: partial 23S ribosomal RNA
Rfam family: Bacterial large subunit ribosomal RNA
Source: RNAcentral